UACGGUUACCUUGUUACGACUUCACCCCAAUCAUGAAUCACACCGUCGACGCCUGCCUCCCAAUGGGUUAGCUCAGCGGCUUCUAGUGCAGCCCACUUUCGUGAUGUGACGGGCGGUGUGUACAAGGCCCGGGAACGUAUUCACCGUGGCGUGCUGAUCCACGAUUACUAGCGAUUCCAACUUCAUGCAGUCGAGUUGCAGACUGCAAUCCGAACUGAGAACGGCUUUCUGAGAUUCGCUCACUCUCGCGAGUUGGCUGCUCUUUGUACCGUCCAUUGUAGCACGUGUGUAGCCCGGGGCAUGAAGGCCAUGAGGACUUGACGUCAUCCCCACCUUCCUCCGGCUUCUCGCCGACAGUCUCCGUAGGGUGCCCAGCUUAACCUGAUGGCAACUACAGACAAGGGUUGCGCUCGUUGCGGGACUUAACCCAACAUCUCACGACACGAGCUGACGACAGCCAUGCAGCACCUCUGUGGCAGUCUCCGAAGAGACAUCAACAUCUCUGCUAACUUCCACCACAGUUUAAACCCCGGUAAGGUUCUUCGCGUUGCGUCGAAUUAAACCACAUGCUCCACCGCUUGUGCGGGCCCCCGUCAAUUCCUUUGAGUUUCAAUCUUGCGAUCGUACUCCCCAGGCGGGGUACUUAACG
RNAcentral lists this ribosomal RNA (649 nucleotides) under uncultured bacterium. RNAcentral describes it as "partial 16S ribosomal RNA". The record is from RNAcentral.